UACGGAGGAUGCGAGCGUUAACCGGAUUUAUUGGGUUUAAAGGGUGCGUAGGCGGCCUGCCAAGUCAGCGGUAAAAUUGCGGGGCUCAACCCCGUACAGCCGUUGAAACUGCCGGGCUCGAGUGGGCGAGAAGUAUGCGGAAUGCGUGGUGUAGCGGUGAAAUGCAUAGAUAUCACGCAGAACCCCGAUUGCGAAGGCAGCAUACCGGCGCCCUACUGACGCUGAGGCACGAAAGUGCGGGGAUCAAACAGG
Molecule: ribosomal RNA, 252 nt
Filed under: uncultured bacterium
Lineage: Bacteria
Description: partial 16S ribosomal RNA
Rfam family: Bacterial small subunit ribosomal RNA
Source: RNAcentral